Molecule: ribosomal RNA, 301 nt
Filed under: uncultured bacterium
Lineage: Bacteria
Description: partial 16S ribosomal RNA
Rfam family: Bacterial small subunit ribosomal RNA
Source: RNAcentral
CAGCAGCCGCGGGAAUACGUAGGGUGCAAGCGUUAAUCGGAAUUACUGGGCGUAAAGCGUGCGCAGGCGGUUAUAUAAGACAGAUGUGAAAUCCCCGGGCUCAACCUGGGAACUGCAUUUGUGACUGUAUAGCUAGAGUACGGCAGAGGGGGAUGGAAUUCCGCGUGUAGCAGUGAAAUGCGUAGAUAUGCGGAGGAACACCGAUGGCGAAGGCAAUCCCCUGGGCCUGUACUGACGCUCAUGCACGAAAGCGUGGGGAGCAAACAGGAUUAGAUACCCCAGUAGUCCCUGUCUCUUAUAA